RNAcentral lists this ribosomal RNA (253 nucleotides) under uncultured bacterium. Its description in RNAcentral is "partial 16S ribosomal RNA". It matches the Rfam family "Bacterial small subunit ribosomal RNA", at positions 524 to 776 of the family's 1533-position model. The record is from RNAcentral.
UACGUAGGGGGCAAGCGUUGUCCGGAAUCAUUGGGCGUAAAGAGCGUGUAGGCGGCUCGGUAAGUCCGCUGUAAAAGUCCAGGGCUCAACCCUGGAAAGCCGGUGGAAACUGUCGAGCUAGAGUCCGGAAGAGGCGAGUGGAAUUCCUGGUGUAGCGGUGAAAUGCGCAGAUAUCAGGAGGAACACCGGUGGCGAAAGCGGCUCACUGGACCACAACUGACGCUGAGGCGCGAAAGCUAGGGGAGCAAACAGG